GGUGGUGCAUGGUUGUCGUCAGCUCGUGUCGUGAGAUGUUGGGUUAAGUCCCGCAACGAGCGCAACCCUUGUCCUGUGUUGCCAGCACGUUGUGGUGGGGACUCACGGGAGACCGCCGGGGUUAACUCGGAGGAAGGUGGGGAUGACGUCAAAUCAUCAUGCCCCUUAUGUCCAGGGCUUCACACAUGCUACAAUGGUCGGUACAGUGGGUUGCUACACCGUGAGGUGGUGCUAAUCUCUUAAAGCCGGUCUCAGUUCGGAUUGGAGUCUGCAACUCGACUCCAUGAAGUCGGAGUCGCUAGUAAUCGCAGAUCAGCAAUGCUGCGGUGAAUACGUUCCCGGGUCUUGUACACAC
RNAcentral lists this ribosomal RNA (355 nucleotides) under uncultured bacterium. Its description in RNAcentral is "bacterial SSU rRNA". It matches the Rfam family "Bacterial small subunit ribosomal RNA", at positions 1037 to 1390 of the family's 1533-position model. The record is from RNAcentral.